UCUUGUGGUGAUCCUUGGGACACUUCUAGUGCAGAUUUUGUUUUGCUAAACAAUAUUGUUGGGACUUCCCAGAUGCUUUCUCAAGAAAGCUCCAGCUUUUCUGGAAGGAGUUCAGAAAGGAAAGUUUGUUGCUAUUUGCAGCAGCAAACAGCUAAGAAAUCAAAGGCAACAAUUCAUAACACAGAUCAGCAAAAGUAGCCUGAGGUGUUGUUGGUGGUGAGCAAUGUACCCUGCAGAGGCAGCAAAGCACAGGAUAUCAACCAUAGAUGUGCUGAAACCACAGAGCUCCAGCCUGGGAUCUCUGCCUUGUAAUCAGAUGGGUGAGGUUUGGGUUAAAUAAAAUACAAAAUGAAUACAAUA
This is a long non-coding RNA of Pyrgilauda ruficollis (rufous-necked snowfinch), 360 nucleotides long. RefSeq lists it as uncharacterized. Lineage: Eukaryota; Metazoa; Chordata; Aves; Passeriformes; Passeridae. The transcript has 3 exons. The record is from RefSeq and is a predicted model, not a curated record.